RNAcentral lists this small nuclear RNA (322 nucleotides) under Saimiri boliviensis boliviensis (Bolivian squirrel monkey). RNAcentral's name for it is "7SK RNA (ENSSBOG00000007581.1)". It matches the Rfam family "7SK RNA". From Rfam's summary of the family: 7SK was discovered as an abundant small nuclear RNA in the mid-70s but a possible function has only recently been suggested. Two independent studies have found that 7SK RNA binds the CDK9/cyclin T complex (known as elongation factor P-TEFb). The record is from RNAcentral. Lineage: Eukaryota; Metazoa; Chordata; Mammalia; Primates; Cebidae.
GGAUGUGAGGGUGAUCUGGCUGCGAUCGCCCUCACAUCCCAUUUCUGUCACCCCAUUGAUUGCCAGGGUUGAUGUGGCUGAUGUGGCUGGCUAGGCGGGUGUCCCCUUCCUCCCUCACUGCUCCAUGUGUGUCCUUCCCGAAGCUGCGCACUCGGUGGAAGAGGAUGACCAUCCCCGAUAGAGGAGGACUGGUCUUCGGUCAAGGGUAUAUGAGUAGCUGUACUCCCCGACUAGAACCUCCAAACAAGCUCUCCAGGUCCAUACAACAAAGUGAAAUAAGUGAAUGAAUAAAUUUAUAUUAUAAAAUUGCUAUCUGAUUUUG